ACCAGACUCCUACGGGAGGCAGCAGUGGGAAUAUUGCACAAUGGGGGAAACCCUGAUGCAGCGACGCCGCGUGAGUGAAGAAGUAUUUCGGUAUGUAAAGCUCUAUCAGCAGGAACGAGACAAGACGGUACCUGACUAAGAAGCCCCGGCUAACUACGUGCCAGCAGCCGCGGUAAUACGUAGGGGGCAAGCGUUAUCCGGAAUCACUGGGUGUAAAGGGAGCGUAGACGGCUGAGCAAGCCUGAAGUGAAAGGCGGGGGCCCAACCCCCGGACUGCUUUGGGAACUGUACGGCUGGAGUGCAGGAGAGGUAAGUGGAAUUCCUAGUGUAGCGGUGAAAUGCGUAGAUAUUAGGAGGAACACCAGUGGCGAAGGCGGCUUACUGGACUGUAACUGACGUUGAGGCUCGAAAGCGUGGGGAGCAAACAGGAUUAGAUACCCCUGUA
Molecule: ribosomal RNA, 445 nt
Filed under: uncultured bacterium
Lineage: Bacteria
Description: partial 16S ribosomal RNA
Rfam family: Bacterial small subunit ribosomal RNA
Source: RNAcentral